Molecule: RNA transcript, 823 nt
Organism: Populus trichocarpa (black cottonwood)
Lineage: Eukaryota; Viridiplantae; Streptophyta; Magnoliopsida; Malpighiales; Salicaceae
Exons: 2
Source: RefSeq, a predicted model, not a curated record
CGACAUUGUGAUACAACCACUACAUUCUUGCUUUUUUAGUGCUCGCACAGUUAAUUUGAUCUCUCAUCGGUCUCACAAUCCAAUUGUAAUCGUUAAACAGUGAUGAAAAACCUGCUUACAUAUAGCAACCCUAAUUAGACCCAUGUUUCUACAUAGCUCAGACAAAGCAAAUUAUAUGAUACUGCAGACAAAUAUCUGAUCAUGAUGAAGAUCUUGUUAGCUCUUCUCCUUGCUUUCCUGUUGAUGUUAGCAUCUCUGCAAGCUGAUGCAGAAGUGCUCAGUACCACCAUGGAACCUAAGGUGGCCAGCCGUCAUCUAUUGAGUGAACCAUCAUCUCUUGGUCGGAAGGGUAACGCUGGGGAAAAUGACGCCAAGACGCCUACUUCAAACAAGGGAAACAGUAACACAGAAACUAAAACUGCCAGCGACGACGACGACGACGACGAUGAAACAAACCAAGGCUUGGGUGGCUAUGGAGGUGGAUCAUCUACUAAGACACACCACCAUUACACAAAUGGUACUAGACCACCCAAAAACUAAUCAAGCUUGAUAAUUAAGCUCGUGAGGCUUACAUAUGUAAGUAUAUAUGGUGUGGCUUGAUUUGCUUAUAAUGUUAAUAAAGUAGAAACAAACAUGUUACUAGCCACGAAAACAAGUGUGUACUGUGGCACAUGUAUUGUUUCAUGUGAAGUAGUUGUCAUUUCCUACGUGAAGGUAUUGAUCAGCGUGAUGCAAAUCUAGCUUUAGGCCAAAAUAUAUUAUUACUUUGCCUGAAAUAAAAAGGCCAUGGCUAGCCAGCUACUGAUUAGCGCCAUGUUAAUUA